RNAcentral lists this transfer RNA (76 nucleotides) under Saliniramus fredricksonii. RNAcentral describes it as "Salinarimonadaceae bacterium HL-109 tRNA-Lys". It matches the Rfam family "tRNA". From Rfam's summary of the family: Transfer RNA (tRNA) molecules are approximately 80 nucleotides in length. Their secondary structure includes four short double-helical elements and three loops (D, anti-codon, and T loops). Further hydrogen bonds mediate the characteristic L-shaped molecular structure. tRNAs have two regions of fundamental functional importance: the anti-codon, which is responsible for specific mRNA codon recognition, and the 3' end, to which the tRNAs corresponding amino acid is attached (by aminoacyl-tRNA synthetases). tRNAs cope with the degeneracy of the genetic code in two manners: having more than one tRNA (with a specific anti-codon) for a particular amino acid; and 'wobble' base-pairing, i.e. permitting non-standard base-pairing at the 3rd anti-codon position. The record is from RNAcentral. Lineage: Bacteria; Pseudomonadati; Pseudomonadota; Alphaproteobacteria; Hyphomicrobiales; Salinarimonadaceae. RNAcentral also lists the same sequence under 4 other names.
GAGCGCGUAGCUCAGUUGGUAGAGCAACUGACUUUUAAUCAGUGGGUCCAGGGUUCGAAUCCCUGCGCGCUCACCA